UAAUAAGUGUUUUAUGGCACUUCUUAAAUCCAUAUCCACCUUGUGUGCAAUGUCAGUCGAUCUUCUUUUAUGGAGGAUCGACCAAACAUCAACCUUUAUCUUUUAACUCUUUGUCUGAAAAAUAUUAUGAAUAAACAAUUCAAAAUA
Molecule: unclassified non-coding RNA, 147 nt
Filed under: soil metagenome
Description: partial internal transcribed spacer 1
Source: RNAcentral